AUGCCAUGGUGUGGAUAUUUUCUCAAUAGUUUCCUAAAUCACUCCCAAGCUUCAUAUAGAGAUUCUCCAUCAUUCUAGCAAAAAUUAUUAAUUUCUCCCCUCAGUUU
Small nucleolar RNA from Cannabis sativa, 107 nucleotides. The record is from RefSeq and is a predicted model, not a curated record. NCBI's taxonomy places the organism in Eukaryota, Viridiplantae, Streptophyta, Magnoliopsida, Rosales, Cannabaceae.